AUGCAAUCAUAUAGUUGUGUUUUCCUGACACUAUAACCCUUAGGUCCCCCCACCCACCUUCACGGAUCCCCCUCCUGCUGGGCUGGAGUGGUUAAAACCCCUUCAGCUACUUAUUUUAAUCCAUCAAAAGUCUCUCUGGUGACCUUUCCUCCCACGUCAACUCCCGAGUGGAGCGGAAUGUGCAUGCGCAUCCCAACGCUUUCCUAUUGAU
Molecule: non-coding RNA, 211 nt
Organism: Pelobates cultripes (western spadefoot toad)
Lineage: Eukaryota; Metazoa; Chordata; Amphibia; Anura; Pelobatidae
Source: the annotation of a GenBank genome assembly